CUUCAGCGCGCCCAGCCACAGCGGCCGUUCGGCCUCCCGGCCCUGGCCGUAGGUGGCGAGGAUGGCCUGGGCCUC
This is a non-coding RNA of Streptomyces violaceusniger Tu 4113, 75 nucleotides long. NCBI's taxonomy places the organism in Bacteria, Bacillati, Actinomycetota, Actinomycetes, Kitasatosporales, Streptomycetaceae. The record is from Rfam.